UUUUAGCAUUAUUCUCUUUCUAUCUGAAUCUAACAAAUUAAGAUCAGAGCGAUGGAGUUUUCAGACGGAGAAACCAGACCAAUUUUAGAUUUAUGAUUCAAAGGUGCUAAGUACCAAAAAAACCCUAAAAUUCAUUUUAAUUUGUUUCUCUCUUCAAUAAUUGUUUCUCCAACAAAUGAAGAGGAUGAAAAACAAUGGUAAAUCAAAUCGGGGAUAAGAAACGUGGUUUAAUUGGAAACAACGCCAAACCAGAAAAAGGAAAAGAAAUACCCUAGAUUUCAAUUGAAGGAUAUUCGUCGACCGCUUUCAAUUAUCAAUUCACAUUGAGGAGGAGGAGGAGGAGGAGGAGGAAGAAGAAGAAGAAGAAUGGACAAAUAAGGAGGACAAGGAGGAAGAAUCUGUGAUAUUAGGUAGGGAUGAGUUGAAAGAUAAUGAAUUUUCCUUGAAAAUGUUCUUCAAAGGUGUAUCUACCCUUAAGGCAGGUGAUUUGGGGUCUGGGUUUUCAGAGAAAACUUAAUUUUUUUGUAGAGGAAUCAAUUGCUCAAUAUUUUCCUUUGAUGGAUGGUAUGGUGGAGGCAUUGGAAAACAAGAUUCGUCUUGUUGUUGCUUUUACAGCUUCUGAGAUUGUUUAUGAUCAAUUCCUUCACUGGGAUCAGACAAUACCUCGAGGAAGAGACCCCAUGAAAGUCAGGCACUUGAUGAUGCUUCAGCAUAGGUCAACCAUGCCUCUAGCUCCAGACCAUGGAAAAGUCCAAGACUGAUCAAACAGGCUCAACGUCCGGAAUUGUUGCGAGUAGAAAAUGAAAAUAGUCUACCUUUUGCUUUCAGAACUACUUUGCAUUAUCGAGAGAGUUUGUUUUGUUCUGUGAUCUACCUUUAGGCAUUCUUAUGUCAGAAUAACGAAGAAUAUGAUUUGCUUCACAGUAAUAACGCGGCAGUCGGUAGGUGAAGUUUCCUUUUGAUGGUUGAGAUGGUACUUACAGGGUCACUUUUCGUGUUCUCAAUAUGGUUUUUUGUGUAGUUUUGGUUGAAAAGUUAUUGAAUAAAAAGUUUGAUUUUAUUUGGAAUCGAAUGGAAGGCGCAUCGCGCGUGCGUGUUAUACUAGUAUAAAUAAAUAGUACUCUUUGAUUUCUUGCAUUCUUGAGACUUCAUCUUUUGGAGUUAAUUAUGAGCUAUUUAGGAUGACACUCUAAACCUUUUUAGGUUGAAACAGUCCUUACAACUAUGGAUUGAGUUCCACUUAAUCGUUCUAAAAUCCUUAAAUAUAUACGUUCAUAAUUGACUGCGAAACUCAGAUGCUAGCAAUAGCAUGGUAGUCGUUUGAAAGAUUCAUCCUCGCAAUUAAUCAUUACU
This is a long non-coding RNA of Papaver somniferum (opium poppy), 1353 nucleotides long. RefSeq lists it as uncharacterized. The transcript has 3 exons. NCBI's taxonomy places the organism in Eukaryota, Viridiplantae, Streptophyta, Magnoliopsida, Ranunculales, Papaveraceae. The record is from RefSeq and is a predicted model, not a curated record.